RNAcentral lists this ribosomal RNA (274 nucleotides) under uncultured bacterium. RNAcentral's name for it is "partial 16S ribosomal RNA". It matches the Rfam family "Bacterial small subunit ribosomal RNA", at positions 523 to 796 of the family's 1533-position model. The record is from RNAcentral.
AUACGGAGGGUGCAAGCGUUAAUCGGAAUUACUGGGCGUAAAGCGCGCGUAGGCGGUUUUGUAAGUCGGAUGUGAAAGCCCAGGGCUCAACCUUGGAAUUGCAUUCGAAACUGCAUGACUAGAGUAUGGUAGAGGGAAGUGGAAUUCCAGGUGUAGCGGUGAAAUGCGUAGAUAUCUGGAGGAACAUCAGUGGCGAAGGCGACUUCCUGGACCAAUACUGACGCUGAGGUGCGAAAGCGUGGGGAGCAAACAGGAUUAGAAACCCCGGUAGUCC